Molecule: ribosomal RNA, 301 nt
Filed under: uncultured bacterium
Lineage: Bacteria
Description: partial 16S ribosomal RNA
Rfam family: Bacterial small subunit ribosomal RNA
Source: RNAcentral
CAGCCGCCGCGGGAAUACAGAGGGUGCGAGCGUUAAUCGGAUUUACUGGGCGUAAAGCGUGCGUAGGCGGCUCCUUAAGUCGGAUGUGAAAUCCCUGAGCUUAACUUAGGAAUUGCAUUCGAUACUGGGAAGCUAGAGUAUGGGAGAGGAUGGUAGAAUUCCAGGUGUAGCGGUGAAAUGCGUAGAGAUCUGGAGGAAUACCGAUGGCGAAGGCAGCCAUCUGGCCUAAUACUGACGCUGAGGUACGAAAGCAUGGGGAGCAAACAGGAUUAGAUACCCCAGUAGUCCCUGUCUCUUAUAA